UACGGAGGGUGCAAGCGUUAUCCGGAUUCACUGGGUUUAAAGGGUGCGUAGGUGGGCAGGUAAGUCAGUGGUGAAAUCUCCGGGCUUAACCCGGAAACUGCCAUUGAUACUAUCUGUCUUGAAUACCGUGGAGGUGAGCGGAAUAUGUCAUGUAGCGGUGAAAUGCUUAGAUAUGACAUAGAACACCAAUUGCGAAGGCAGCUCACUACACGAAUAUUGACACUGAGGCACGAAAGCGUGGGGAUCAAACGGG
This 253-nucleotide ribosomal RNA is filed under the name uncultured bacterium. Its description in RNAcentral is "partial 16S ribosomal RNA". It matches the Rfam family "Bacterial small subunit ribosomal RNA", at positions 524 to 776 of the family's 1533-position model. The record is from RNAcentral.